RNAcentral lists this ribosomal RNA (497 nucleotides) under uncultured bacterium. Its description in RNAcentral is "partial 16S ribosomal RNA". It matches the Rfam family "Bacterial small subunit ribosomal RNA", at positions 28 to 507 of the family's 1533-position model. The record is from RNAcentral.
GAUGAACGCUGGCGGCGUGCCUAAUACAUGCAAGUCGAGCGAACAGACGAGGAGCUUGCUCCUCUGACGUUAGCGGCGGACGGGUGAGUAACACGUGGAUAACCUACCUAUAAGACUGGGAUAACUUCGGGAAACCGGAGCUAAUACCGGAUAAUAUAUUGAACCGCAUGGUUCAAUAGUGAAAGACGGUUUUGCUGUCACUUAUAGAUGGAUCCGCGCCGCAUUAGCUAGUUGGUAAGGUAACGGAUUACCAAGGCGACGAUGCGUAGCCGACCUGAGAGGAUGAUCGGCCACACUAGAACUGAGACACGGUCCAGACUCCUACGGGAGGCAGCAGUAGGGAAUCUUCCGCAAUGGGCGAAAGCCUGACGGAGCAACGCCGCGUGAGUGAUGAAGGUCUUCGGAUCGUAAAACUCUGUUAUUAGGGAAGAACAAAUGUGUAAGUAACUAUGCACGUCUUGACGGUACCUAAUCAGAAAGCCACGGCUAACUACGUG